GGCUCACUGGUCUAGUUGUAUGAUUCUUGUUUUGGUUGCGAGAGGUCCUGAGUUCGACUCUCAGUUGAGCCC
RNAcentral lists this transfer RNA (72 nucleotides) under Clytia hemisphaerica. Its description in RNAcentral is "tRNA-Pro for anticodon UGG". It matches the Rfam family "tRNA". From Rfam's summary of the family: Transfer RNA (tRNA) molecules are approximately 80 nucleotides in length. Their secondary structure includes four short double-helical elements and three loops (D, anti-codon, and T loops). The record is from RNAcentral. Lineage: Eukaryota; Metazoa; Cnidaria; Hydrozoa; Leptothecata; Clytiidae.